This is a long non-coding RNA of Frieseomelitta varia, 645 nucleotides long. RefSeq lists it as uncharacterized. The record is from RefSeq and is a predicted model, not a curated record. NCBI's taxonomy places the organism in Eukaryota, Metazoa, Arthropoda, Insecta, Hymenoptera, Apidae. The transcript has 2 exons.
UUAUUAUUUUAUACUUUUUAAUACUUUUUUUUCUCUUUUUUUUCUUUCUAAUUACUCUUGACGAUCGUCGAGACUUGGUCCCAACCGCAAAAUGGUGAGUUUUCUCGUGUCGUUCUGGAUCCACUAAUAACGAUCGAUCAUCGACUCGAAAUUCCAGCCGUUUCUCGUCGUCCAUACGACCUGAAGUCAGACAAACUUCGCGUAGAUCUCUUUUUCGAACGCGUGCGUCCGAACGAUGUGCAUUUCAACUCGAAACGGAAUUGUUCAAUUGUUGAAAAUCAAAAUAACGACGAUUCGAGGAACUACGAAUAAUAAACAAUCACGGGGAGAACGAUACGGAGAGUACAAUUGGUAUUUCAGAACAGCCGUGGCUCGAUCGAUCGACGAUCGAUUUUUGUUCAGCGAUCGAUAAUCACGGACGCGAAAACGGCAGGAAAUUGACGCAAAGAACGAUGGUUGUUGUGUGCCUAAUGGCUGCGAAGAUAAUGACGAAGGCGCGACGUCGACGAAAUUUUGAACAGUUUAUAGAGAUUAUCCUUUCUUUCUUCUCUCUGCUUUUUUUGUUUGUUUUUGCUUUUUUCUGUUUGGUUUGCUUCUCUCUUCUUACGUAAAUAAUCUUGUACUUGACAAUUAACCGAAACGAAA